AUGAACGCUGGCGGCGUGCCUAAUACAUGCCAGUCGAGCGAACAGACGAGGAGCUUGCUCCUCUGACGUUAGCGGCGGACGGGUGAGUAACACGUGGAUAACCUACCUAUAAGACUGGGAUAACUUCGGGAAACCGGAGCUAAUACCGGAUAAUAUAUUGAACCGCAUGGUUCAAUAGUGAAAGACGGUUUUGCUGUCACUUAUAGAUGGAUCCGCGCCGCAUUAGCUAGUUGGUAAGGUAACGGCUUACCAAGGCAACGAUGCGUAGCCGACCUGAGAGGGUGAUCGGCCACCCGGGAACUGAGACACGGUCCCGACUCCUACGGGAGGCAGCAGUAGGGAAUCUUCCGCAAUGGGCGAAAGCCUGACGGAGCAACGCCGCGUGAGUGAUGAAGGUCUUCGGAUCGUAAAACUCUGUUAUUAGGGAAGAACAAAUGUGUAAGUAACUAUGCACGUCUUGACGGUACCUAAUCAGAAAGCCACGGCUAACUACGUG
This 496-nucleotide ribosomal RNA is filed under the name uncultured bacterium. RNAcentral's name for it is "partial 16S ribosomal RNA". It matches the Rfam family "Bacterial small subunit ribosomal RNA", at positions 29 to 507 of the family's 1533-position model. The record is from RNAcentral.